This 81-nucleotide non-coding RNA is filed under the name Brucella pseudogrignonensis. The record is from RNAcentral. Lineage: Bacteria; Pseudomonadati; Pseudomonadota; Alphaproteobacteria; Hyphomicrobiales; Brucellaceae.
AAAGUGUUCCGUGGUGAUUUGGCCGGCCGGCUUGCAGCCACGUUAAAGAAUUCGCUAAAAUAAGGCCGCGGUUCGUUACCG